CCCAUCUUAGAAUCGCACCUGGAGAGUUUCCAGAACUCUACCAGUUUCGGUAACAGGAGGGAGAAUCAAGCAGAGGCCUACCCAUUCCAUUCCUUGCUUGGACAGUGGCUAGCUAGUGGGAGGCAAUCUGAAACAUUA
Small nucleolar RNA from Tachyglossus aculeatus (Australian echidna), 138 nucleotides. Lineage: Eukaryota; Metazoa; Chordata; Mammalia; Monotremata; Tachyglossidae. The record is from RefSeq and is a predicted model, not a curated record.